GGAGGGUAUAGCUCAGUGGUAGAGCUUGUGUUUAUCACGCACAAGGCCCUGGGUUCAAUCCCCAGUAUCUCCA
RNAcentral lists this transfer RNA (73 nucleotides) under Vicugna pacos (alpaca). Its description in RNAcentral is "tRNA-Asp (ATC) (tRNA-Asp-ATC-17-1)". It matches the Rfam family "tRNA". From Rfam's summary of the family: Transfer RNA (tRNA) molecules are approximately 80 nucleotides in length. Their secondary structure includes four short double-helical elements and three loops (D, anti-codon, and T loops). Lineage: Eukaryota; Metazoa; Chordata; Mammalia; Artiodactyla; Camelidae. The record is from RNAcentral.